Molecule: long non-coding RNA, 1014 nt
Organism: Coregonus clupeaformis (lake whitefish)
Lineage: Eukaryota; Metazoa; Chordata; Actinopteri; Salmoniformes; Salmonidae
Exons: 3
Source: RefSeq, a predicted model, not a curated record
UGUGUGGGGUCCUCGGUCGAAGGCCCCCGUGGAGGAGAAGUAAACAGAAAUGUUCAUAAAUAAUCAUUAGCUAGCAUUGGCAGUAUUGAUUUGGACGUGCAUUGGAGGAGCUGCUGAAGGAGACCAAUAGGGCUGGGUGCGAACAGAAACCAUGGGUCCAGCAGGCUGGAUGAAGUGUAUGCUGCGCAGCACUAACAACCAUUUCCUGCUCAACACUCAGCGCACCACCAUCCCACAGCGCCGCCCUGCUGGCCACUCAGGAGAACAGACAUCAAAGAGUAGGGUGCAGGACACCACCCAGAGACAAUGGAGGAUACAGGGACCACAGACUGUCAUAGAGACAGCUGAGAACCUAGUCUCAAAGAUGAACACAGACUGUCAUAGAGACAGCUGAGAACCUAGUCUCAAAGAUGGACACAGACUGUCAUAGAGACAGCUGAGAACUUAGUCUCAAUGAUGGACACAGACUGUCAUGGAGACAGCUGAGAACCUAGUCUCAAAGAUGGACACAGACUGUCAUAGAGACAGCUGAGAACCUAGUCUCAAAGAUGGACAAAGACUGUCAUAGAGACAGCUGAGAACCUAGUCUCAAAGAUGGACACAAAGACAAAGACUGGCAUAGAGACAGCUGAGAACGUAGUCUCAAAGAUGGACACAAAGGAGACAGACUGUCAUAGAGACAGCUGAGAACCUAGUCUCAAAGAUGGACAAAGAUUGUCAUAGAGACAGCUGAGAACCUAGUCUCAACGAUGGACACAGACUGUCAUAGAGACAGCUGAGAACCUAAUCUCAAUGAUGGACACAUAGACAAGGACUGUCAUAGAGACAGCUGAGAACCUAGUCUCAACGUUGGACACAGACUGUCAUAGAGACAGCUGAGAACCUAAUCUCAAUGAUGGACACAUAGACAAGGACUGUCAUAGAGACAGCUGAGAACCUAGUCUCAACGUUGGACACAGACUGUCAUAGAGACAGCUGAGAACCUAGUCUCAACGAUAGACACAGACUGUCAUA